This 200-nucleotide long non-coding RNA is filed under the name Elaeis guineensis (African oil palm). Its description in RNAcentral is "long non-coding RNA (EGUI_LNC045301)". The record is from RNAcentral. Lineage: Eukaryota; Viridiplantae; Streptophyta; Magnoliopsida; Arecales; Arecaceae.
GGUCCGAAAGCAUUGGAUAAUGAAAUUGAUGUAUAUCUACGACUUUUGAUUGAUGAUCUGAAGGAGUUAUGAAAAAAUGGGGUUCAGACAUAUGAUUCUGUGAGUCGAAGUAAUUUUAAGUUGCAUGCUUCGAUUUUAUGGACUAUAAAUAAUUUUUCAGCAUAUAAAAAUUUAUCUGGAUGGAGCACCAAAGGAUAUUU